GAUUAUGGCUCAGAACGAACGCUGGUGGCGUGUCUUAUACAUGCAAGUCGAGCGAGGCAGCAAUGCCGAGCGGCGAACGGGUGAGUAACGCGUAAGCAAUCUGCCCCAUAUCAGGAAAUACCCGUGCCAACGCGCGGUUAAUGUCCAGGAGAGUGGCCCUCUGCAUGGAGGGUUGACUAGAGAUUUAUCGGUAUGGGAUGAGCUUGCGUCCGAUUAGCUAGUUGGCGGGGCAACGGCCCACCAAGGCGACGAUCGGUAGCCGACCUGAGAGGGUGAUCGGCCACAUUGGGACUGAGAUACGGCCCAGACUCCUACGGGAGGCAGCAGUAGGGAAUAUUGCACAAUGGGGGAAACCCUGAUGCAGCAACGCCACGUGUGGGAAGAAGCAUUUCGGUGUGUAAACCACUGUCAUGAGGGAAUAAGGCCCUUAUCCGUAACGGGGUUGAAUGUACCUUGAGAGGAAGCACCGGCAAACUUCGUGCCAGCAGCAGC
RNAcentral lists this ribosomal RNA (492 nucleotides) under uncultured bacterium. RNAcentral describes it as "bacterial SSU rRNA". It matches the Rfam family "Bacterial small subunit ribosomal RNA", at positions 15 to 518 of the family's 1533-position model. The record is from RNAcentral.